AGAGUUUGAUCCUGGCUCAGGAUGAACGCUGGCGGCGUGCUUAACACAUGCAAGUCGAGCGAAGCGCUCACGCGGAAUUUUUCGGAAGGAAGCGGGAGUGACUUAGCGGCGGACGGGUGAGUAACGCGUGGGUAACCUGCCCCAUACCGGGGGAUAACGGUUAGAAAUGACCGCUAAUACCGCUUAAGCGUGCGAGGCCGCAUGGCCACGCGCGAAAAACUCCGGUGGUAUGGGAUGGGCCCGCGUCUGAUUAGGUAGUUGGCGGGGUAAAGGCCCACCAAGCCGACGAUCAGUAGCCGACCUGAGAGGGUGGCCGGCCACAUUGGGACUGAGACACGGCCCAAACUCCUACGGGAGGCAGCAGUGGGGAAUAUUGCGCAAUGGGGGAAACCCUGACGCAGCAACGCCGCGUGAGUGAAGAAGUAUCUCGGUAUGUAAAGCUCUAUCAGCGGGGAAGAAGGAAGACGGUACCCGACUAAGAAGCCCCGGCUAACUACGUGCCAGCAGCCGCGGUAAUACGUAGGGGGCGAGCGUUAUCCGGAUUUACUGGGUGUAAAGGGAGCGUAGACGGCGUCGCAAGUCUGAAGUGAAAGCCCGUGGCUCAACCGCGGAACCGCUUUGGAAACUGUGAGGCUGGAGUGCUGGAGAGGUAAGCGGAAUUCCUGGUGUAGCGGUGAAAUGCGUAGAUAUCAGGAGGAACACCGGUGGCGAAGGCGGCUUACUGGACAGUGACUGACGUUGAGGCUCGAAAGCGUGGGGAGCGAACAGGAUUAGAUACCCUGGUAGUCCACGCGGUAAACGAUGAGUGCUAGGUGUCGGGGGGCUCACGGGCGCUCGGUGCCGCAGCAAACGCAGUAAGUAUUCCACCUGGGGAGUACGUUCGCAAGAAUGAAACUCAAAGGAAUUGACGGGGGCCCGCACAAGCGGAGGAACAUGUGGUUUAAUUCGAUGAUACGCGAGGAACCUUACCCGGGCUCGAACUGCAGGUGAACGAUUCAGAGAUGAUGAGGUCCUUCGGGACACCUGUGGAGGUGCUGCAUGAUUGUCGUCAGCUCGCGCCGUAAGGUGUCGGCUUAAGUGCCAUAACGAGCGCAACCCCUGUUCUCAGUUGCCAUCGGGUCAUGCCGGGCACUCUGUGAAGACUGCCUCCGUAAGGAGUGAGGAGGGUGGGGAUGACGUCAAAUCAGCACGGCCCUUACGUCCGGGGCUACACACGUGUUACAAUGGGUGAUACAGAGAGUCGGCGGCCGGCAACGUCCGUCUAAUCUAUAAAGUCAUCCUCAGUUCGGACUGGGGUCUGCAACCCGACCCCACGAAGCUGGAUUCGCUAGUAAUCGCGCAUCAGCCAUGGCGCGGUGAAUACGAAAGCGGGCCUUGCACA
This 1381-nucleotide ribosomal RNA is filed under the name uncultured bacterium. RNAcentral describes it as "partial 16S ribosomal RNA". It matches the Rfam family "Bacterial small subunit ribosomal RNA". The record is from RNAcentral.